Drosophila nasuta is the source of this 241-nucleotide small nuclear RNA. RefSeq annotates it as U11 spliceosomal RNA. The record is from RefSeq and is a predicted model, not a curated record. NCBI's taxonomy places the organism in Eukaryota, Metazoa, Arthropoda, Insecta, Diptera, Drosophilidae. The transcript has a single exon.
AAAAAGGGCGCUCGUCUUUGGCAUGUUCUAAUGUCAGGAGCAAUAGUGCAGACGCAUUGCGCCGUUGGCUCAUCCAUUCGCCCCUUGUUGGGCGGGGGCGUGCGCUAAAUUGCCGCCUUCGAUGGGUUUCUAACGUGCUCAGUGGGGUAUGGCUUUGCAUAUCCAGUGCAUAAUUUUUUUUGUUUGGGGUUUGCGGCUGCACAUUUUAUGGCAUUGUUUUGUGUCCGUGCGCUGUGCCCCA